GACGAGAAGCUUGCUUCUCUGAUGUUAGCGGCGGACGGGUGAGUAACACGUGGAUAACCUACCUAUAAGACUGGGAUAACUUCGGGAAACCGGAGCUAAUACCGGAUAAUAUUUUGAACCGCAUGGUUCAAAAGUGAAAGACGGUCUUGCUGUCACUUAUAGAUGGAUCCGCGCUGCAUUAGCUAGUUGGUAAGGUAACGGCUUACCAAGGCAACGAUGCAUAGCCGACCUGAGAGGGUGAUCGGCCACACUGGAACUGAGACACGGUCCAGACUCCUACGGGAGGCAGCAGUAGGGAAUCUUCCGCAAUGGGCGAAAGCCUGACGGAGCAACGCCGCGUGAGUGAUGAAGGUCUUCGGAUCGUAAAACUCUGUUAUUAGGGAAGAACAUAUGUGUAAGUAACUGUGCACAUCUUGACGGUACCUAAUCAGAAAGCCACGGCUAACUACGUGCCAGCAGCCGCGGUAAUACGUAGGUGGCAAGCGUUAUCCGGAAUUAUUGGGCGUAAAGCGCGCGUAGGCGGUUUUUUAAGUCUGAUGUGAAAGCCCACGGCUCAACCGUGGAGGGUCAUUGGAAACUGGAAAACUUGAGUGCAGAAGAGGAAAGUGGAAUUCCAUGUGUAGCGGUGAAAUGCGCAGAGAUAUGGAGGAACACCAGUGGCGAAGGCGACUUUCUGGUCUGUAACUGACGCUGAUGUGCGAAAGCGUGGGGAUCAAACAGGAUUAGAUACCCUGGUAGUCCACGCCGUAAACGAUGAGUGCUAAGUGUUAGGGGGUUUCCGCCCCUUAGUGCUGCAGCUAACGCAUUAAGCACUCCGCCUGGGGAGUACGACCGCAAGGUUGAAACUCAAAGGAAUUGACGGGGACCCGCACAAGCGGUGGAGCAUGUGGUUUAAUUCGAAGCAACGCGAAGAACCUUACCAAAUCUUGACAUCCUUUGACAACUCUAGAGAUAGAGCCUUCCCCUUCGGGGGACAAAGUGACAGGUGGUGCAUGGUUGUCGUCAGCUCGUGUCGUGAGAUGUUGGGUUAAGUCCCGCAACGAGCGCAACCCUUAAGCUUAGUUGCCAUCAUUAAGUUGGGCACUCUAAGUUGACUGCCGGUGACAAACCGGAGGAAGGUGGGGAUGACGUCAAAUCAUCAUGCCCCUUAUGAUUUGGGCUACACACGUGCUACAAUGGACAAUACAAAGGGCAGCGAAACCGCGAGGUCAAGCAAAUCCCAUAAAGUUGUUCUCAGUUCGGAUUGUAGUCUGCAACUCGACUACAUGAAGCUGGAAUCGCUAGUAAUCGUAGAUCAGCAUGCUACGGUGAAUACGUUCCCGGGUCUUGUACACACCGCCCGUCACACCACGAGAGUUUGUAACACCCGAAGCCGGUGGAGUAACCUUUUAGGAGCUAGCCGUCGAAGGUGGGACAAAUGAUUGGGGUGAAGUCGUAACAAGGUAGCCGUAUCGGAAGGUGCGGCUGGAUCACCUCCUUU
This 1480-nucleotide ribosomal RNA is filed under the name Escherichia coli. Its description in RNAcentral is "partial 16S ribosomal RNA". It matches the Rfam family "Bacterial small subunit ribosomal RNA". RNAcentral also lists the same sequence under 1 other name. The record is from RNAcentral. Lineage: Bacteria; Pseudomonadati; Pseudomonadota; Gammaproteobacteria; Enterobacterales; Enterobacteriaceae.